UACGUAGGGACCAAGCGUUGUUCGGAUUUACUGGGCGUAAAGGGCGCGUAGGCGGCGCGGUAAGUCACUUGUGAAAUCUCUGAGCUUAACUCAGAACGGCCAAGUGAUACUGCAGUGCUAGAGUGUGGAAGGGGCAAUCGGAAUUCUUGGUGUAGCGGUGAAAUGCGUAGAUAUCAAGAGGAACACCUGAGGUGAAGACGGGUUGCUGGGCCAACACUGACGCUGAGGCGCGAAAGCCAGGGGAGCAAACGGA
This 253-nucleotide ribosomal RNA is filed under the name uncultured bacterium. Its description in RNAcentral is "partial 16S ribosomal RNA". It matches the Rfam family "Bacterial small subunit ribosomal RNA", at positions 524 to 776 of the family's 1533-position model. The record is from RNAcentral.